AUGUUCGCAUUCGCACUUAAUGCAUCGAAGCACCGAAGAAAAACCGCUUAUGUAGAGGCUAUGCACAAGGCCACCAAUAAGAUUAAGAACAAAACCAAAAUCCACACUAGUAGUGAUGCAUACACAAAGGUCAAAUCGUUUAAUGUUGGGCAUCACAUAACUAAUUGCUUCAAUCUUGUCAACCCAUUUUUUCCCAACCUGGUUUUGACAAAUAUAUACAUAAGAUAUAAUAUUGACUUUGACACCUUAAGAGUCUAAAAGUUCUCCUACUAAAGAAGGCCUCAAAAGCUUUUCCCACCAAAAUGGCAAGCGUAAUUAUGUAAUUUUGAAACUAAAUUGUAGCCAUAUUUUGUCAAGAUUUGUGCUGCCAUAUGAUCAUAUGGAUAACUGGUGUAUAUAG
RNAcentral lists this long non-coding RNA (400 nucleotides) under Prunus dulcis (almond). RNAcentral describes it as "sRNA ncRNA". Lineage: Eukaryota; Viridiplantae; Streptophyta; Magnoliopsida; Rosales; Rosaceae. The record is from RNAcentral.